AAGGAUUUAAGUUAAGAAAACUAUUAACCUUCAAAGUUAAAAUUAUUUUAAAAUAAGCCUUA
This 62-nucleotide transfer RNA is filed under the name Aphaena amabilis. RNAcentral's name for it is "tRNA-Trp". Lineage: Eukaryota; Metazoa; Arthropoda; Insecta; Hemiptera; Fulgoridae. The record is from RNAcentral.